UACGUAGGGUGCGAGCGUUGUCCGGAAUUAUUGGGCGUAAAGAGCUCGUAGGCGGUGUGUCGCGUCGGCCGUGAAAACCUGCAGCUUAACUGUGGGCUUGCGGUCGAUACGGGCAUGACUGGAGUUCGGCAGGGGAGACUGGAAUUCCUGGUGUAGCGGUGAAAUGCGCAGAUAUCAGGAGGAACACCGGUGGCGAAGGCGGGUCUCUGGGCCGAUACUGACGCUGAGGAGCGAAAGCCAGGGGAGCAAACGGG
Molecule: ribosomal RNA, 254 nt
Filed under: uncultured bacterium
Lineage: Bacteria
Description: partial 16S ribosomal RNA
Rfam family: Bacterial small subunit ribosomal RNA
Source: RNAcentral